CCUCGCCCACCUCGCUUUCGGCGCCAACUUCACCUUCAGCAACCCUCUCCUCUGUUUUUGGCGCGCGCUCUCGUCAGAGCGAAAGGCCGCCCAAUCCUGGAGUUAGAAUCUUAUGGAACAGCAUUCUGGAAUUUUAGGGGCACAGAACUAUUCAGAACCUGCUGAAUACCACCUCUGGUCUGCACUCCUUGGCUUAACGUCUCAGGCAUGUUGGUGCUAAUGAAGUUCUAGAAACAGGAUUAAUGAACUCUUGAAACCUUACCAAACUGCAAACAAGAUGAAAUAUUGAGAACACUGGAUCAAUUGAAAGAAACAUGGCUGUUAAGAAGAGGAGCAGCCAAACCUUUAACUGACCUGAUAUCUUUGGGUUUGUCAUCUGACAUUUCUGCAGAUCAUCACUAUAAACUCUCUGAAUCCUACAAUCAAACUACUCAUCCAAAAAAGGAAAACAAUCUACAUACUAGCAAAUCCAUAUGUCCUUCUAUCCCAAAACAGACCAAAUUGAUUCCAUCUUGUUCACUUUCAGAUAAUAAUGAUCUUCAUUGUGUUUUAUUAGAGGGCCUAGUUCAGAAAAGAAGACAAAAAAGUUGCUGUAACUCAGGGCUGUCAAAGUCUCGGGCUGCGGGCCAGAUAUGUCAUAUGCUGGCCAUACCCAUGCCCGGUUUAGUAAAGAGUCCCGAUACAUCAUGUGAUGCUGUCAUGAUGACAUGAGUUUGACAUCCCUGCUGUAACCAAUCAGCUUGCAAAACCAGCCAGGUACAGGGGUAGCAAAUUAAUUGUUAUAUUAGUCCAAAGCUGCUGUCUUCUAAUAAUUCUCAUCUUUUCUCCAAACGCUCAAGGUUAUAUAAAAGAAUAAUACCAAUUAGGCUUAUUAUAGGCAUAUUGAAGACAGACUACUACAAUCAUUGCAACAUAUGGUGAUGUCUAUUUUACAGAUCAGAUACUGGAUAGUUGGAUAGAGAGUAAUAUAGCAUUAGUAUUUAAAGAAAGUCAGAUUUUGUCUCACCAAAAAAUUACCACCAUUCUAUAAUUAUUGAAUAAUGAUUUUAAAUUAUUUAUGAUAAUUUUAAGUGAGAGAAUACAGAUAGUUUUAAAGGAUAUUGUUCAUGAAGGUCAGCUUCAGUUUUUACGUAAAAACAGAAUUAGAUAACAUUAGAAAUGUAUUGGAUAUUUUGGAAUACAUGGAGCAACAUAAUGAGAAAUGAGCAGCAUUAAUUUUUCUUGAUGCAGAAAAGGUCUUUGACAAUUUGAACUGAUUUUGUUUAAAAUUUUGGGUGAUAAGGUGUUUGGUGAGAAUUUUAUCAAAUACGUAAAAUCAAUUAACAUUCCACAAAAGGCAUAGAUCAUUGUGAAUGAGUAAUUAACAAAAAUUGUGAGGAGACUGGUAAGGGAUUAGGCAAGGAUACUUUGUCACCAUUGUUAUUUAUUAUGGUUUUUGAAGUAUUGUUAUCAAUCAAGGUGAGAUAAUUUCUGGAGUGAAGAUUAAAAGGGAAAUUGAUAAAUUAAAAGCAUUUGCUGAUGACAACUUUGGAAGACUCUCUAGAAGGAAUAGAACUAUUAAUGGAAAAAAUAACAGAAUUUGGGAUAUUAGUUGGCUUUAAAAUUAAUAAAUAAAAGA
Molecule: non-coding RNA, 1618 nt
Organism: Thamnophis sirtalis
Lineage: Eukaryota; Metazoa; Chordata; Lepidosauria; Squamata; Natricidae
Source: RefSeq, a predicted model, not a curated record